Molecule: ribosomal RNA, 254 nt
Filed under: uncultured bacterium
Lineage: Bacteria
Description: partial 16S ribosomal RNA
Rfam family: Bacterial small subunit ribosomal RNA
Source: RNAcentral
UACGGGGGGGGCAAGCGUUGUUCGGAAUUACUGGGCGUAAAGGGCUCGUAGGCGGCCAACUAAGUCAGACGUGAAAUCCCUCGGCUUAACCGGGGAACUGCGUCUGAUGCUGGAUGGCUUGAGUUUGGGAGAGGGAUGCGGAAUUCCAGGUGUAGCGGUGAAAUGCGUAGAUAUCUGGAGGAACACCGGUGGCGAAGGCGGCAUCCUGGACCAACACUGACGCUGAGUGAGCGAAAGCCAGGGGAGCAAACGGG